Molecule: ribosomal RNA, 447 nt
Filed under: uncultured Planctomycetota bacterium
Lineage: Bacteria; Pseudomonadati; Planctomycetota
Description: bacterial SSU rRNA
Rfam family: Bacterial small subunit ribosomal RNA
Source: RNAcentral
CCUACGGGUGGCUGCAGUCGAGGAUCUUCGGCAAUGGGCGCAAGCCUGACCGAGCGACGCCGCGUGUGCGAUGAAGGCCUUCGGGUUGUAAAGCACUGUCGAGGGGGAUCAAGGCGCAAGCUUGAGAGAUCCCUGGAGGAAGCACGGGCUAAGUUCGUGCCAGCAGCCGCGGUAAGACGAACCGUGCGAACGUUGUUCGGAAUCACUGGGCUUAAAGGGCGCGUAGGCGGCUUGCCAAGUCAGGGGUGAAAUACUUCAGCUUAACUGGAGAAGUGCCUUUGAUACUGGCGGGCUUGAGGGAGGUAGGGGUCUUUGGAACUUCUGGUGGAGCGGUGAAAUGCGUUGAUAUCAGAAGGAACGCCGGUGGCGAAAGCGAAGGACUGGACCUCUUCUGACGCUGAGGCGCGAAAGCUAGGGGAGCAAACGGGAUUAGAUACCCCAGUAGUC